Molecule: non-coding RNA, 98 nt
Filed under: Apocalathium aciculiferum
Lineage: Eukaryota; Dinophyceae; Thoracosphaerales; Thoracosphaeraceae
Source: RNAcentral
UCGCGGAGCCUUGGUGGCGGGCUCGGGCCCUUCGCAGCAGCACAGACAUGCCGUGAGCGCUCAUGAAUGGAUCGACAACAGAACGGGGCUCACUCUCC